AUUGAACGCUGGCGGCAUGCCUUACACAUGCAAGUCGAACGGCAGCACGGGUGCUUGCACCUGGUGGCGAGUGGCGAACGGGUGAGUAAUACAUCGGAACAUGUCCUGUAGUGGGGGAUAGCCCGGCGAAAGCCGGAUUAAUACCGCAUACGAUCUACGGAUGAAAGCGGGGGACCUUCGGGCCUCGCGCUAUAGGGUUGGCCGAUGGCUGAUUAGCUAGUUGGGGGGGUAAAGGCCUACCAAGGCGACGAUCAGUAGCUGGUCUGAGAGGACGACCAGCCACACUGGGACUGAGACACGGCCCAGACUCCUACGGGAGGCAGCAGUGGGGAAUUUUGGACAAUGGGCGAAAGCCUGAUCCAGCAAUGCCGCGUGUGUGAAGAAGGCCUUCGGGUUGUAAAGCACUUUUGUCCGGAAAGAAAUCCUUGGCCCUAAUACGGUCGGGGGAUGACGGUACCGGAAGAAUAAGCACCGGCUAACUACGUG
RNAcentral lists this ribosomal RNA (486 nucleotides) under uncultured bacterium. Its description in RNAcentral is "partial 16S ribosomal RNA". It matches the Rfam family "Bacterial small subunit ribosomal RNA", at positions 30 to 507 of the family's 1533-position model. The record is from RNAcentral.